GGAAGGAUCAUUAUAGAAAGCUUCGGCUACUUUGAUGCUUUUAACCCUUGUGUUUACCUGCCAUUUGUUGCUUCCGUCGGUCUUUUCCCCCCACCAGGGGUAUCGGCCGGCGGGGGGCCUUUAAUGAAACUAUUUUUUUUUGCCGUCGAUCUGUUAUUGUCUGACUCACUUGAGAGAUAAAUGCUUUCAAAACUUUCAACAACGGAUCUCUUGGCUCCUGCAUCGAUGAAGAACGCAGCGAAAUGCGAUAAUUAAUGUGAAUUGCAGAUUCAGUGAAUCAUCGAGUCUUUGAACGCACAUUGCGCCCCAUGGUAUUCCGUGGGGCAUGCCCGUCUCAGCGUCAGCAUAAAUCUAAUCACCUCCGGAAUUGCAUUCUGGAGGUGGAUUGCUUCGCGCAAGGAGCCACCAUCAGGCGGCUCCUGCUCGCAAAACAAUGGAACUCACGCCAGGCCCUCUUGCCGCGACACGUCGUAAGAUGUUAAUUCGUUAGCGAAAGAGGCUGAUGCGUGGAGGCAUUCACAAAUUCAACUCGCCAUCCAAGGAAGGCGUUGCGUUGCAGAUACCUUGACCUGAGAUCGGGUAGGGAUACCCGCUGAACUUAAGCAUAUCAAUAAGCGGAGGAAAAGAAACCAACCGGGAUUGCCUCAGUAACGGCGAGUGAAGCGGCAAGAGCUCAGAUUUGAAAGCUGGCAUUUUUGAUGUCCGCAUUGUAAUCUGCAGAGGGGUGUUCGGGUGCGGCUCGGACUGAAGUUCCUUGGAACAGGGCAUCAUAGAGGGUGAGAGUCCCGUGCACAGUUCAUGUCCUGCGCUCAUGUGAACCCCCUUCGGUGAGUCGAGUUGUUUGGGAAUGCAGCUCUAAAUGGGUGGUAUAUUUCAUCUAAAGCUAAAUACUGGCAGGAGACCGAUAGCGCACAAGUAGAGUGAUCGAAAGAUGAAAAGAACUUUGGAAAGAGAGUUAAACAGUACGUGAAAUUGUUGAAAGGGAAGCACUUGAAUCCAGACUUGCUUGAGGCUGAUCAGCCGUCAAUUCUUUGGCGGCGCACUCGGUCGCUGGCAGGCCAGCAUCAGUCAAAGUGGUGGGAAAAAGGUGCAGGGAAUGUGGCUCCUUCGGGAGUGUUAUAGCCCUGGGCGUAAUGCCACCUGCUGUGACUGAGGACCGCGCUACGGCGAGGAUGUUGGCUUAAUGGGUGCAAGUGACCCGUCUUGAAACACGGACCAAGGAGUCUAACAGCUGUGCAAGUGUUUGGGCUGAAAACCCGGGCGCGAAAUGAAAGUGAAUGGAGGUGGGAACCGCAAGGUGCACCAUCGACCGAUCCUGAUGUCUUCGGAAGGAUUUGAGUAGGAGCAUAGCUGUUGGGACCCGAAAGAUGGUGAACUAUGCCUGAAUAGGGUGAAGCCAGAGGAAACUCUGGUGGAGGCUCGCAGCGGUUCUGACGUGCAAAUCGAUCGUCAAAUUUGGGUAUAGGGGCGAAAGACUAAUCGAACCAUCUAGUAGCUGGUUCCGGC
RNAcentral lists this unclassified non-coding RNA (1506 nucleotides) under uncultured fungus. RNAcentral describes it as "sequence contains 18S rRNA gene, ITS1, 5.8S rRNA gene, ITS2, 28S rRNA gene". The stretch from base 566 to 1506 matches the Rfam family "Eukaryotic large subunit ribosomal RNA", at positions 1 to 961 of the family's 3401-position model. The record is from RNAcentral. Lineage: Eukaryota; Fungi.